CUCUUUUUGUCUCUUGCCCUACUUCCAUCCUGCUCUGAGGUGUCUGGACUCUCUAGCUGGCUGACCUCUGGGAAGCCUUGAUUUUGGUUUCCUCCCUGGACCUGGUCCAUCAUCUGUGCUCCCUCCUUGCACUGCCCUGCUUUGCAGGUGGCUCAGGCCAGCUUCAGCCCUCGGCUGGACACUUUGGGGUUUCUGCCCCCAACAUCAAUCAGCAUUCAGAGAUCCCACCUGCCUCCGGAGGGGAAGUGAGCAUAAGUCCUGGUUCUAGGAAUAUUUCCUCUCCCCAUUCCCGAGGCAAUGCCGGACUGGCCGUCCUACUCAGUCAUCACAUUCAGCAGUUGGUCUGAGCCCUGAUAUAGCCCUGGCACGGAACUUGGCCUUACUGCCGCUCCCCUGGGGACCCUGAUAACCCAGCUGUGGGAGCCUGAGAGGGUAGCUGCUGGUGAGGACAAAGCCCCAAGCCGUGGAAGAGUUCUAGAACCCUGCCACUGCUCUCUGUGCUCAGGCUGGGUAGUGUCUUUGAGUCAUAGGGCUGUAAUAAGGCUGGUGGAUGAUGCCAGCACACCCAGUGGCCCCAGGACCCUUUGACUGGCCAACAAGGGACUGAACCAGCCUUAUUUUCUUCUUCAAGUACUAUGGCUGAAAACACUGGGGUCUAACUUUACGAGGGAGGGGAGCAGAGCUCUAGUCUCUAACAUUCUGCCUGGCAGAGAACACACUGAGACAGGGCCCUCCUCCUCUGGCCAAGACCUGUCCAUCCCAGCACGUGGUUGUCCCAGUCUGGGUGGCAAGGGGCAGCCGGUGAUGCCAACUGCAGGCACUGGCCUGGGGCCCCAGGCUUUCCUGUACCGCACCCCACCAAGACAGUGAGCCUGGAGGACAGGACCUAGUCUUGCCUACCAUUAUAUCUGUAACUCACUGAGAGGCUAGAAGCCCUGGAGGGCCUGCAGCAAUUGCCUGUGGUCACUGCCUCAGACCAUGGAGCCCAGCGGGAAUGCAAGGGACCCUGUCACUGGCAAGCCACGGCCAAGAAGCCAAGCGAAGCCAAGCUUAUAAUUGGCCAAGGAUGCAAGGACUUGUCCUUAUGUGUCUCCAGUGCUCCAAACCUGGUAAGAAGGACUUCUGGUCCUCGGUCCCCUUCCCCACCUUACUGUCCUUUCUGGAGUCUCAGACCCACAGCUUCACGCUUUUCUUGACUUUUAACCAUGUACCUUUUGUCAGGGCCUUUGGGUGACCUCUUCCUUUUUGAAGUUAGGCCUCCUCUUUCUGUAUUUUUAGACCAUAAAUGAAC
RNAcentral lists this long non-coding RNA (1291 nucleotides) under Mustela putorius furo (domestic ferret). Its description in RNAcentral is "lncRNA (ENSMPUG00000025341.1)". Lineage: Eukaryota; Metazoa; Chordata; Mammalia; Carnivora; Mustelidae. The record is from RNAcentral.